GGGGAAUCUUGCGCAAUGGGCGAAAGCCUGACGCAGCAACGCCGCGUGGGGGAUGAAGGCCUUCGGGUUGUAAACCUCUUUCACCAUCGACGAAGCCCUUUGGGGUGACGGUAGGUGGGGAAGAAGCACCGGCUAACUACGUGCCAGCAGCCGCGGUAAUACGUAGGGUGCGAGCGUUGUCCGGAUUUAUUGGGCGUAAAGAGCUCGUAGGCGGUUUGUCGCGCCGGCCGUGAAAACCUACAGCUUAACUGUGGGCUUGCGGUCGAUACGGGCAGACUUGAGUUCGGCAGGGGAGACUGGAAUUCCUGGUGUAGCGGUGAAAUGCGCAGAUAUCAGGAGGAACACCGGUGGCGAAGGCGGGUCUCUGGGCCGAUACUGACGCUGAGGAGCGAAAGCGUGGGGAGCGAAC
RNAcentral lists this ribosomal RNA (409 nucleotides) under uncultured bacterium. RNAcentral describes it as "bacterial SSU rRNA". It matches the Rfam family "Bacterial small subunit ribosomal RNA", at positions 356 to 773 of the family's 1533-position model. The record is from RNAcentral.